CUGUGAAGCGAGACCGGAAGGACUCGUGGAGCGCUUAGAAGUGAGAAUGCCGGUAUGAGUAGCGAAAGAGGGGUGAGAAUCCCCUCCACCGAAUGCCUAAGGUUUCCUGAGGAAGGCUCGUCCGCUCAGGGUUAGUCGGGACCUAAGCCGAGGCCGAAAGGCGUAGGCGAUGGACAACAGGUUGAUAUUCCUGUACCACCUCCUCACCAUUUGAGCAAUGGGGGGACGCAGGAGGAUAGGGUAAGCGCGGUAUUGGAUAUCCGCGUCCAAGCAGUUAGGCUGGGAAAUAGGCAAAUCCGUUUCCCGUAAGGCUGAGCUGUGAUGGCGAGCGAAAUAUAGUAGCGAAGUUCCUGAUUCCACACUGCCAAGAAAAGCCUCUAGCGAGGUGAGAGGUGCCCGUACCGCAAACCGACACAGGUAGGCGAGGAGAGAAUCCUAAGGUGAUCGAGAGAACUCUCGUUAAGGAACUCGGCAAAAUGACCCCGUAACUUCGGGAGAAGGGGUGCUCUGUUAGGGUGCAAGCCCGAGAGAGCCGCAGUGAAUAGGCCCAGGCGACUGUUUAGCAAAAACACAGGUCUCUGCGAAGCCGUAAGGCGAAGUAUAGGGGCUGACGCCUGCCCGGUGCUGGAAG
This 631-nucleotide ribosomal RNA is filed under the name Paraphysomonas bandaiensis. Its description in RNAcentral is "partial Bacterial large subunit ribosomal RNA". It matches the Rfam family "Bacterial large subunit ribosomal RNA", at positions 1248 to 1875 of the family's 2925-position model. The record is from RNAcentral. Lineage: Eukaryota; Chrysophyceae; Chromulinales; Paraphysomonadaceae.